Molecule: ribosomal RNA, 256 nt
Filed under: uncultured Basidiomycota
Lineage: Eukaryota; Fungi; Basidiomycota
Description: partial 18S ribosomal RNA
Rfam family: Eukaryotic small subunit ribosomal RNA
Source: RNAcentral
AAGCUCGUAGUUGAAUUUCGAAUGUGGCUGGGCGGUCCGCCUCACGGUGUGUACUGUCUGGCUGUGUUCUCUUUCUUGGUGAGCCGGCAUGCCCUUUACUGGGUGUGUUGGGGAACCAGGACGUUUACCUUGAGAAAAUUAGAGUGUUCAAAGCAGGCCUACGCCCGAAUACAUUAGCAUGGCAUAAUAAAAUAGGACGUGCGGUUCUAUUUUGUUGGUUUCUAGAGCCGCAGUAAUGAUUAAAGGGAUAGUUGGG